AACGAACGCUGGCGGCAUGCCUAACACAUGCAAGUCGAACGGGAUCCUGGUUUCGGCCAGGUGAGAGUGGCGGACGGGUGAGUAACGCGUGGGAACCUGCCCAGUGGUGGGGGAUAACUGCGGGAAACUGCAGCUAAUACCGCAUGAGCCCGCAAGGGGAAAGAUUGAUCGCCAUUGGAGGGGCCCGCGUUCGAUUAGGUAGUUGGUGAGGUAACGGCUCACCAAGCCUACGAUCGAUAGCUGGUCUGAGAGGAUGAUCAGCCACACUGGGACUGAGAUACGGCCCAGACUCCUACGGGAGGCAGCAGUGGGGAAUAUUGGACGAUGGGGGCAACCCUGAUCCAGCAAUGCCGCGUGAGUGAUGAAGGCCUU
This 372-nucleotide ribosomal RNA is filed under the name uncultured bacterium. RNAcentral's name for it is "bacterial SSU rRNA". It matches the Rfam family "Bacterial small subunit ribosomal RNA", at positions 29 to 418 of the family's 1533-position model. The record is from RNAcentral.